GGUCUACAAAGCUACACAGAGAA
Molecule: non-coding RNA, 23 nt
Filed under: Cricetulus griseus (Chinese hamster)
Lineage: Eukaryota; Metazoa; Chordata; Mammalia; Rodentia; Cricetidae
Source: RNAcentral